GAUGAACGCUGGCGGCGUGCUUAACACAUGCAAGUCGAACGAACGACUAUUAACAGAACCUUUCGGGGCGAAGAUGAUAGAAGUUAGUGGCGGACGGGUGCGUAACGCGUGGGUAAUCUGCCUUUGUCAAAGGAAUAACUAUUCGAAAGAAUAGCUAAAACCGUAUAACAUAUUAAUAGGGCAUCCUAAUAAUAUCAAAACUGAGGUGGGCAAAGAUGAGCCCGCGUCUGAUUAGCUAGUUGGUGAGAUAAAAGCCCACCAAGGCAACGAUCAGUAGCCGACCUGAGAGGGUGAACGGCCACAUUGGAACUGAGACACGGUCCAAACUCCUGCGGGAGGCAGCAGUGGGGAAUAUUGCACAAUGGGGGGAACCCUGAUGCAGCAACGCCGCGUGAGUGAAGAAGGCAUUCGUGUCGUAAAACUCUGUAGUAGGGGAAGAAAGAAAUGACAGUACCCUAAAAGAAAGCCCCGGCUAACUACGUGCCAGCAGCCGCGGUAAUACGUAGGGGGCAAGCGUUAUCCGGAAUAACUGGGCGUAAAGGGUGCGCAGGUGGUUUAACAAGUUAGUGGUGAAAGGCAUAGGCUCAACCAAUGUAAGCCAUUAAAACUGUUUAACUUGAGUGCAGGAGAGGAAAGUGGAAUUCCUAGUGUAGCGGUGAAAUGCGUAGAUAUUAGGAGGAAUACCAGUGGCGAAGGCGACUUUCUGGACUGCAACUGACACUGAGGCACGAAAGCGUGGGGAGCAAACAGG
RNAcentral lists this ribosomal RNA (751 nucleotides) under uncultured Filifactor sp. RNAcentral's name for it is "bacterial SSU rRNA". It matches the Rfam family "Bacterial small subunit ribosomal RNA", at positions 28 to 776 of the family's 1533-position model. Lineage: Bacteria; Bacillati; Bacillota; Clostridia; Peptostreptococcales; Filifactoraceae. The record is from RNAcentral.